This 1484-nucleotide ribosomal RNA is filed under the name uncultured Pedobacter sp. Its description in RNAcentral is "bacterial SSU rRNA". It matches the Rfam family "Bacterial small subunit ribosomal RNA". The record is from RNAcentral. Lineage: Bacteria; Pseudomonadati; Bacteroidota; Sphingobacteriia; Sphingobacteriales; Sphingobacteriaceae.
AGAGUUUGAUCAUGGCUCAGGAUGAACGCUAGCGGCAGGCCUAAUACAUGCAAGUCGAACGAGAUUAAGAGGCUUGCUUCUUAUGAAAGUGGCGCACGGGUGCGUAACGCGUAUGCAACCUACCUUAAUCAGGGGGAUAGCCCGAAGAAAUUCGGAUUAAGACCGCAUAAAAACACAGGAUAGCAUUAUCCAAUGUUCAAAUAUUUAUAGGAUUAAGAUGGGCAUGCGUGUCAUUAGCUAGUUGGCGGGGUAACGGCCCACCAAGGCGACGAUGACUAGGGGAUCUGAGAGGAUGACCCCCCACACUGGUACUGAGACACGGACCAGACUCCUACGGGAGGCAGCAGUAAGGAAUAUUGGUCAAUGGAGGGAACUCUGAACCAGCCAUGCCGCGUGCAGGAAGACAGCCCUCUGGGUCGUAAACUGCUUUUAUUCGGGAAUAAACCUUUCUACGUGUAGGAAGCUGAAUGUACCGAAGGAAUAAGGAUCGGCUAACUCCGUGCCAGCAGCCGCGGUAAUACGGAGGAUCCAAGCGUUAUCCGGAUUUAUUGGGUUUAAAGGGUGCGUAGGCGGCUUAUUAAGUCAGGGGUGAAAGACGGUGGCUCAACCAUCGCAGUGCCCUUGAUACUGAUGAGCUUGAAUACACUAGAGGUAGGCGGAAUGUGACAAGUAGCGGUGAAAUGCAUAGAUAUGUCACAGAACACCGAUUGCGAAGGCAGCUUACUAUGGUGUUAUUGACGCUGAGGCACGAAAGCGUGGGGAUCAAACAGGAUUAGAUACCCUGGUAGUCCACGCCCUAAACGAUGAAUACUCGCUGUUAGCGAUAUACAGUUAGCGGCUAAGCGAAAGCGUUAAGUAUUCCACCUGGGGAGUACGCCCGCAAGGGUGAAACUCAAAGGAAUUGACGGGGGCCCGCACAAGCGGAGGAGCAUGUGGUUUAAUUCGAUGAUACGCGAGGAACCUUACCCGGGCUUGAAAGUUAGUGAAUGAUCUAGAGAUAGAUCAGUGAGCAAUCACACGAAACUAGGUGCUGCAUGGCUGUCGUCAGCUCGUGCCGUGAGGUGUUGGGUUAAGUCCCGCAACGAGCGCAACCCCUAUGUUUAGUUGCCAGCACGUUAAGGUGGGGACUCUAAACAGACUGCCUGUGCAAACAGAGAGGAAGGAGGGGACGACGUCAAGUCAUCAUGGCCCUUACGUCCGGGGCUACACACGUGCUACAAUGGAUGGUACAGAGGGCAGCAAGCUGGCAACAGCAAGCGAAUCUCAAAAAGCCAUUCACAGUUCGGAUAGAGGUCUGCAACUCGACCUCUUGAAGUUGGAUUCGCUAGUAAUCGCGUAUCAGCAAUGACGCGGUGAAUACGUUCCCGGGCCUUGUACACACCGCCCGUCAAGCCAUGGAAGUUGGGGGUACCUAAAGUAUGUAACCGUAAGGAGCGUCCUAGGGUAAAACCGAUAACUGGGGCUAAGUCGUAACAAGGUAGCCG